This 398-nucleotide long non-coding RNA is filed under the name Volvox carteri. RNAcentral's name for it is "long non-coding RNA (VCAR_LNC000002)". Lineage: Eukaryota; Viridiplantae; Chlorophyta; Chlorophyceae; Chlamydomonadales; Volvocaceae. The record is from RNAcentral.
ACCUACGCCGUCAUUGCACCCAAUAUGGGCAAGCAGAUCGUGGCAUUCCAGGCCAUGAUGGACAUGAUGGCUAAAAACUUUCCUGGCGCGUUCUCGGGCUACAGGCUCCGAGUGGUCGAGUCCCACCAGUCGACGAAGAAGGACACGUCGGGGACGGCGAAGGCCGUUGUGCAGUCGUUUGUGGAGAUGGGCAUCAAAUUUGACGUGUCAGAAAUCGAGCUGGUGCGGGAGCCAAAGGAACAGAUGGAGGUUAUGAAGGUGCCCGAGUCGGCACUCAAUGGACAUGCGUACCACACGUACCAGCUGGUUUCUGGCGACGGGACGGUGAUGUUUGAGUUCCAACACAAUGUCAUCGGUCGCACGACGUAUGCGGAAGGCACCGUGGACGCUACCCUCUU